CCUGAUCCUAGAUCAUAAUGAAUCAGGUUACAUGGAGAGGAGGACCUGAUCCUAGAUCACAAUGAAUCAGAUUACAUGGAGAGGUGGGACCUGAUCCUAGAUCAUAAUGAAUCAGAUUACAUGGAGAGGGGGACCUGAUCCUGAUUCAGCACUCCUCCUUUGAGACACUGCCUUUAUGAUUAAGGAAUGCUGUUGUAAAUUGUAGUUACAGCAGGUGUUUACUGCCAUCUAGUGGAAGAUACCAAUAAAACACUUUAUUUUCAGGGUGGGGAGACGGCUGAGUGAAACAGAAAGUAAAGUUGUUCUUUUGUUCAGGAUCCAUUUUGAGACGACAGAGCAGAAGACGCUAUAUGGAGAUUACUGACAAAUAAGGGUCAGUGCUCUAAAAUGAGUCUCUCUGGGGAGAGAGAGGAGGGGGGCCCUGCCUCUAAAAUGCAUCUCUCUGGGGGACAUGACACCAAAGCUAAGAGCGCCCGGCCCGGGAUUCAAACCAGCCACCUUUCAGCCACAGGUCCAACUCCUGCCACAGCUCCAACUCCUUAAUCGCUGGGCGAAAACCUGAGUUAAUCUUGGGAAAUUAGCAUAAAUUAAUCUGCCAAAAUGAAGACAAAAUGCUUUGGAGACAUACAUGGUAUCACUUGUUAUACAUAAGUAUUAUACAUAAAUCAUUGCCAAAAGCACAGGACAUAUAUUAUUUAUGGAUUGAUCAUAUCAAAUAUCAAAACAUUAUUUUAACUACUACAAAGCAUUUACAUGUGGCUCAGGAACCACUGACUCACUGCAUUGUUCUAUAGUAUUAUCAAGACACCUGCUGUUAACUCUUAACUACUUAGGACAGCUCACGAGGUGUUCUAAAUAUCUGCCGACUAGGUGGGACUAGAGACUUCAUGCAUAGCUUUAAUUUAUACCCAUAAGUGUAAAAUGUCUUUAUUCUCAGCACUUAUUCGACCAAUUUUCUUCUCUGAGACGCUUUGUGGAUAUGGGCCCAGAUCUCAAAAUAAUGUUAUAAAAAACUUAUGAUGUUUGUUUUACAUAAUAAUAGAAAAUGAAUAUUACUAAUGUAACCCACUGUAAAGACUGGGUUUAGUUGAUUGUGUUGCACUGCUCAUGUCCGCGUUCUGGACCUUCCCGCGUCCACGUACAGAACUGUCCGCGUCCACGUACAUUGUGGCGCCAAGCAUAUUGUCUGGUUAUGCGCAGAGUGGGCUGAGGUGAUCUUGGGGAAUAAAGUGUUGAAACGCC
Salmo salar (Atlantic salmon) is the source of this 1242-nucleotide non-coding RNA. NCBI's taxonomy places the organism in Eukaryota, Metazoa, Chordata, Actinopteri, Salmoniformes, Salmonidae. The record is from RefSeq and is a predicted model, not a curated record.